AGAGUUUGAUCAUGCCUUUAAUUGAACGCUGGCGGAAUGCUUUACACAUGCAAGUCGAACGGCAGCAUAGGUGCUUGCACCUGAUGGCGAGUGGCGAACGGGUGAGUAAUACAUCGGAACGUGCCCAGUCGUGGGGGAUAACGUAGCGAAAGUUACGCUAAUACCGCAUACGAUCUACGGAUGAAAGCGGGGGACCGUAAGGCCUCGCGCGAUUGGAGCGGCCGAUGUUAGAUUAGGUAGUUGGUGGGGUAAAGGCUCACCAAGCCGACGAUCUAUAGCUGGUCUGAGAGGAUGAUCAGCCACACUGGGACUGAGACACGGCCCAGACUCCUACGGGAGGCAGCAGUGGGGAAUUUUGGACAAUGGGCGCAAGCCUGAUCCAGCCAUUCCGCGUGCAGGACGAAGGCCUUCGGGUUGUAAACUGCUUUUGUACAGAACGAAAAGGCUCUGGUUAAUACCUGGGGCUCAUGACGGUACCGUAAGAAUAAGCACCGGCUAACUACGUGCCAGCAGCCGCGGUAAU
Molecule: ribosomal RNA, 523 nt
Filed under: uncultured bacterium
Lineage: Bacteria
Description: bacterial SSU rRNA
Rfam family: Bacterial small subunit ribosomal RNA
Source: RNAcentral